AGAUUGAACGCUGGCGGCAGGCCUAACACAUGCAAGUCGAGCGGUAGAGUGGUGCUUGCACCUCUUGAGAGCGGCGGACGGGUGAGUAAUGCCUAGGAAUCUGCCUAGUGGUGGGGGGUAACGUUCGGAAACGGACGCUAAUACCGCAUACGUCCUACGGGAGAAAGCGGGGGACCUCCGGGCCUCGCGCCAUUAGAUGAGCCUAGGUCGGAUUAGCUAGUUGGUGAGGUAAUGGCUCACCAAGGCGACGAUCCGUAACUGGUCUGAGAGGAUGAUCAGUCACACUGGAACUGAGACACGGUCCAGACUCCUACGGGAGCAGCAGUGGGAAUAUUGGACAAUGGGCGAAAGCCUGAUCCAGCCAUGCCGCGUGUGUGAAGAAGGUCUUCGGAUUGUAAAGC
RNAcentral lists this ribosomal RNA (401 nucleotides) under uncultured soil bacterium. Its description in RNAcentral is "bacterial SSU rRNA". It matches the Rfam family "Bacterial small subunit ribosomal RNA", at positions 26 to 431 of the family's 1533-position model. The record is from RNAcentral.